GGCGGACGGGUGAGUAACACGUGGGAACCUACCUAGCAGUACGGAAUAACUGUGGGAAACUGCAGCUAAUACCGUAUACGCCCCGAGGGGGAAAGAUUUAUCGCUGUUGGAUGGGCCCGCGUCCGAUUAGCUUGUUGGCGGGGUAACGGCCCACCAAGGCGACGAUCGGUAGCUGGUCUGAGAGGAUGAUCAGCCACACUGGGACUGAGACACGGCCCAGACUCCUACGGGAGGCAGCAGUGGGGAAUAUUGGACAAUGGGGGAAACCCUGAUCCAGCCAUGCCGCGUGAGUGAAGAAGGCCUUAGGGUUGUAAAACUCUUUCACCGGGGACGAUGAUGACGGUACCCGGAGAAGAAGCCCCGGCUAACUCCGUGCCAGCAGCCGCGGUAAUACGGAGGGGGCUAGCGUUGUUCGGAAUUACUGGGCGUAAAGCGCGCGUAGGCGGUUUGCCAAGUCAGGCGUGAAAGCCCCAGGCUCAACCCGGGAAUUGCGCUUGAUACUGACUGACUAGAGGCCGGGAGAGGGUAGUGGAAUUCC
Molecule: ribosomal RNA, 538 nt
Filed under: uncultured Alphaproteobacteria bacterium
Lineage: Bacteria; Pseudomonadati; Pseudomonadota; Alphaproteobacteria
Description: bacterial SSU rRNA
Rfam family: Bacterial small subunit ribosomal RNA
Source: RNAcentral